GCGCCCGUGGCUCAAUUGGAUAGAGCAUCUGACUUCGGAUCAGAGGGUUGGGGGUUCGAGUCCUCUCGGGCGUGCCA
RNAcentral lists this transfer RNA (77 nucleotides) under Candidatus Tenebribacter davisii. Its description in RNAcentral is "tRNA-Arg". It matches the Rfam family "tRNA". From Rfam's summary of the family: Transfer RNA (tRNA) molecules are approximately 80 nucleotides in length. The record is from RNAcentral. Lineage: Bacteria; Pseudomonadati; Candidatus Cloacimonadota; Cloacimonadia (SeqCode); Cloacimonadales (SeqCode).